Long non-coding RNA from Cercocebus atys (sooty mangabey), 2268 nucleotides. RefSeq lists it as uncharacterized. The transcript is spliced from 3 exons. Lineage: Eukaryota; Metazoa; Chordata; Mammalia; Primates; Cercopithecidae. The record is from RefSeq and is a predicted model, not a curated record.
UACUUGAAAUAUUAGUGUUUAUUAGCAGAGUUUUUAGUGCACAAACAUACCCACCCUAAUUUUGUCUUGAGAAUUGGAUUCUGAAAAACUGUGAUCAGCACAAAGGUGUGUCGGUACUCUGGUACCAUGAAAGCAUUGAAAGGGAGAGAAAUGAUUGGAUUGACAAAAGUCUUGACAAGAGAGGCCAACAGAAACCAAAAGCCUUCGCAAGUGUAACUCAAUUUGUUUUUGAGCUCAGAAGAGAAUGACAGUGUGCUAGAUGGAUUUCAGUUUUCCUUCCAGAUCUGCUCUUCACUUCUCCACACUGACCCGCACCCUUCAUGUGCUUCUCACAAAGUUGAGAGCCACAGAGGAGCACGCAAGGUGAGCUGUGAUGAGUGAUUUUCAUUUACCUUUCCAGAUCCUCUGUCCACUCUGCUCUGCUGAUAGACAUUUACGAACCAUAGCGACAAGCUCCUUUGUCCCCUGGCUUCUGGUUAGAGGGCCAAUGAGAUACACAGGCAGAGACUGCAUGGAGAGGGAAAAGUGAGGUUGGGGCAUUGCCUGCUCUCCCUGCAGGGCUAUGAGUCUGAGUCCGUGUUCCAUCAUCUAAGGCCAAGCACCUGUCAAGCAGGUGGCUCUCUUUCAUACCUUUCAGGUCCAAUGACCUUCCCUCUAAGGGUUGUAACAGCACUCCAUGCUUAGCAAUCACUAUUCCUCGCUGGUUUCUUUUAACCCAGUACAACUUUGCAAAUUAGCCCUUUUUGAAACUCUUCAGUUUCCCUCAUUUGACUGCUUCACUUGUUUCUCAUGGAAACCCUGACUUGAGGAUUUUUGUUUAGUGAGCGUUUCCACAGUAUUUUUGAAGAGCUAACGGGAAGUUAAUUUGCCUACCUUUUAUACACCUCAGUUAGAUCAGCUUUUGUCUGGAAAGGAGCCUGGCAGGGCUUGGCUUUGUAUCCUGUUGGGAUGAUCAUCUCUUCAGUGUGAUGACUAAGGGUUGCAUCCAGUUAGUGCACUAGCAACUGAAGUUAGGAAGGCUGGGGUGGACGCUGCCAACCAGCAAUCCAAUCUGCCUGAUGGCCAACCCUCUGACCACUGGGAGCCUGGGGCUUUCUGAAUCAGACAACUUCCAGACUUCACAUGUGCUGCCAAGCACAAGAUAUAUUCUGGAAAGAAGAGGAGGAGGAAGAAGAAAGACUGUAAAGGAAGGAGCAGUACUGUUUUCAUGAGGACCUACUAUGUGCCAGACAUUAUUCUAAGUGCUGGGGUCACCAUGGGAAACUUGCAGCUAGUUGGGAGGCUAAGGUGGGAAGAUGACUUGAGCCCAGCAGGUCGAGGCUGCAGUAAGCCAAGAUCGUGCCACUGCACUCCAGGCUGGGCAACAGAUGCUGUGUGAAGAUGAAGGCAGAGAUCAGGCUGAUGCUUAUGGAAAGCCAGAGAUUGCCAACAAACCACCAAAAACUAGGAGAGAGACCUGAAACAGAUUCUCUCUGAGUCCUCAGUAGGAACCAACCCUGCCAACACCAUGAUCUUGGACUUCUAGCCCCCAGAACUGUGAAAUAAUAAAUGUCUGAUGUCUAAGCCAGCCAGUUUACGGUAGUUUGUUACAGCAGCCCUAGAAACCUAAAAUAUGGUACAUAUGGUUUUGUCUUCCCAACCCACUUAUUUUUCUGGGAAAUCUCUCUCCCUCCCCAGUUACUGCAGGAGCAGCCAUGUUGAUCAACAUGGCCUCCUGCCCCGGUAGAGUUCAUUGAAAAUUGGCAUUUGAAACCAGAGAACAAGUCUUCAGUGACUAAAGCUGAAAAAUAUGAAACUCAGGAACUGCCAACAACCAUGUUUUCUACAACAAAAAGAAAGCCAGUCUGCAGAAGACAAAGCUGGAAUCCAGAGCAGCAGAGGUGAGGCAAGGGGAGAGAGCUGAGGGUUUCCCGCUCUAACUCCAUUGGUGCCCGAGAUCUCAGCUCUAUCCUAACUUGGCUGUGACUUGAAUUCCGGGACACUAAAGUGGCUGUCCAGUAAAUUCUUUUUUUUUUUUUUCCUCUCAAGCCAAUUAAUAAACAGUCUGUGGUACUUACAACUCAGACUUCUAUUUAACAUCUCCAAAACUCACUCAGUCUCAUUUUUCAUAAUAAGUGGAAGUUUGCUGCUCUAACUGUAUCCUUACCAGACAUGGGUGCAGGAUCCAGAAAAGAGCAUUAAUAAAAAUUAAUGUUAGUCAAGAAAUAUGGCCAGAGGCAAUGGCUCACGCCUGUAAUCCCAGUACUUUGGGAGGCUGAGGUGGGCAGA